This 497-nucleotide ribosomal RNA is filed under the name uncultured bacterium. RNAcentral describes it as "partial 16S ribosomal RNA". It matches the Rfam family "Bacterial small subunit ribosomal RNA", at positions 28 to 507 of the family's 1533-position model. The record is from RNAcentral.
GACGAACGCUGGCGGCGUGCCUAAUACAUGCAAGUAGAACGCUGAAGCGAGGAGCUUGCUCUUCUUGGAUGAGUUGCGAACGGGUGAGUAACGCGUAGGUAACCUGCCUGGUAGCGGGGGAUAACUAUUGGAAACGAUAGCUAAUACCGCAUAAAAUUGAUUAUUGCAUGAUAAUUAAUUGAAAGAUGCAACUGCAUCACUACCAGAUGGACCUGCGUUGUAUUAGCUAGUUGGUGAGGUAACGGCUCACCAAGGCGACGAUACAUAGCCGACCUGAGAGGGUGAUCGGCCACACUGGGACUGAGACACGGCCCAGACUCCUACGGGAGGCAGCAGUAGGGAAUCUUCGGCAAUGGGGGGAACCCUGACCGAGCAACGCCGCGUGAGUGAAGAAGGUUUUCGAAUCGUAAAGCUCUGUUGUAAGAGAAGAACGGGUGUGAGAGUGGAAAGUUCACACUGUGACGGUAUCUUACCAGAAAGGGACGGCUAACUACGUG